Molecule: ribosomal RNA, 2902 nt
Filed under: Klebsiella quasipneumoniae
Lineage: Bacteria; Pseudomonadati; Pseudomonadota; Gammaproteobacteria; Enterobacterales; Enterobacteriaceae
Description: 23S ribosomal RNA
Rfam family: Bacterial large subunit ribosomal RNA
Source: RNAcentral
GGUUAAGCGACUAAGCGUACACGGUGGAUGCCCUGGCAGUCAGAGGCGAUGAAGGACGUGCUAAUCUGCGAAAAGCGUCGGUAAGGUGAUAUGAACCGUUAUAGCCGGCGAUGUCCGAAUGGGGAAACCCAGUGUGAUUCGUCACACUAUCGUUAACUGAAUACAUAGGUUAACGAGGCGAACCGGGGGAACUGAAACAUCUAAGUACCCCGAGGAAAAGAAAUCAACCGAGAUUCCCCCAGUAGCGGCGAGCGAACGGGGAGCAGCCCAGAGUCUGAAUCAGCUUGUGUGUUAGUGGAACGGUCUGGAAAGUCCGACGGUACAGGGUGAUAGUCCCGUACACCAAAAUGCACAGGCUGUGAACUCGAAGAGUAGGGCGGGACACGUGGUAUCCUGUCUGAAUAUGGGGGGACCAUCCUCCAAGGCUAAAUACUCCUGACUGACCGAUAGUGAACCAGUACCGUGAGGGAAAGGCGAAAAGAACCCCGGCGAGGGGAGUGAAAAAGAACCUGAAACCGUGUACGUACAAGCAGUGGGAGCACCUUCGGGUGUGACUGCGUACCUUUUGUAUAAUGGGUCAGCGACUUAUAUUCUGUAGCAAGGUUAACCGUAUAGGGGAGCCGCAGGGAAACCGAGUCUUAACUGGGCGUUAAGUUGCAGGGUAUAGACCCGAAACCCGGUGAUCUAGCCAUGGGCAGGUUGAAGGUUGGGUAACACUAACUGGAGGACCGAACCGACUAAUGUUGAAAAAUUAGCGGAUGACUUGUGGCUGGGGGUGAAAGGCCAAUCAAACCGGGAGAUAGCUGGUUCUCCCCGAAAGCUAUUUAGGUAGCGCCUCGUGAACUCAUCUUCGGGGGUAGAGCACUGUUUCGGCUAGGGGGUCAUCCCGACUUACCAACCCGAUGCAAACUACGAAUACCGAAGAAUGUUAUCACGGGAGACACACGGCGGGUGCUAACGUCCGUCGUGAAGAGGGAAACAACCCAGACCGCCAGCUAAGGUCCCAAAGUCAUGGUUAAGUGGGAAACGAUGUGGGAAGGCACAGACAGCCAGGAUGUUGGCUUAGAAGCAGCCAUCAUUUAAAGAAAGCGUAAUAGCUCACUGGUCGAGUCGGCCUGCGCGGAAGAUGUAACGGGGCUAAACCAUGCACCGAAGCUGCGGCAGCGACACUAUGUGUUGUUGGGUAGGGGAGCGUUCUGUAAGCCUGCGAAGGUGACCUGUGAGGGUUGCUGGAGGUAUCAGAAGUGCGAAUGCUGACAUAAGUAACGAUAAAGCGGGUGAAAAGCCCGCUCGCCGGAAGACCAAGGGUUCCUGUCCAACGUUAAUCGGGGCAGGGUGAGUCGACCCCUAAGGCGAGGCCGAAAGGCGUAGUCGAUGGGAAACAGGUUAAUAUUCCUGUACUUGGUGUUACUGCGAAGGGGGGACGGAGAAGGCUAUGUUAGCCGGGCGACGGUUGUCCCGGUUUAAGCAUGUAGGCUGAUUAUCCAGGCAAAUCCGGAUAAUCAAGGCUGAGGUGUGAUGACGAGGCACUACGGUGCUGAAGUAACAAAUGCCCUGCUUCCAGGAAAAGCCUCUAAGCAUCAGGUAACAUCAAAUCGUACCCCAAACCGACACAGGUGGUCAGGUAGAGAAUACCAAGGCGCUUGAGAGAACUCGGGUGAAGGAACUAGGCAAAAUGGUGCCGUAACUUCGGGAGAAGGCACGCUGGUGUGUAGGUGAAGUCCCUGCGGAUGGAGCUGAGACCAGUCGAAGAUACCAGCUGGCUGCAACUGUUUAUUAAAAACACAGCACUGUGCAAACACGAAAGUGGACGUAUACGGUGUGACGCCUGCCCGGUGCCGGAAGGUUAAUUGAUGGGGUUAUCCGUAAGGAGAAGCUCUUGAUCGAAGCCCCGGUAAACGGCGGCCGUAACUAUAACGGUCCUAAGGUAGCGAAAUUCCUUGUCGGGUAAGUUCCGACCUGCACGAAUGGCGUAAUGAUGGCCAGGCUGUCUCCACCCGAGACUCAGUGAAAUUGAACUCGCUGUGAAGAUGCAGUGUACCCGCGGCAAGACGGAAAGACCCCGUGAACCUUUACUAUAGCUUGACACUGAACAUUGAGCCUUGAUGUGUAGGAUAGGUGGGAGGCUUUGAAGCGUGGACGCCAGUCUGCGUGGAGCCAACCUUGAAAUACCACCCUUUAAUGUUUGAUGUUCUAACGUUGGCCCCUGACCGGGGUUGCGGACAGUGUCUGGUGGGUAGUUUGACUGGGGCGGUCUCCUCCCAAAGCGUAACGGAGGAGCACGAAGGUUAGCUAAUCCUGGUCGGACAUCAGGAGGUUAGUGCAAUGGCAUAAGCUAGCUUGACUGCGAGCGUGACGGCGCGAGCAGGUGCGAAAGCAGGUCAUAGUGAUCCGGUGGUUCUGAAUGGAAGGGCCAUCGCUCAACGGAUAAAAGGUACUCCGGGGAUAACAGGCUGAUACCGCCCAAGAGUUCAUAUCGACGGCGGUGUUUGGCACCUCGAUGUCGGCUCAUCACAUCCUGGGGCUGAAGUAGGUCCCAAGGGUAUGGCUGUUCGCCAUUUAAAGUGGUACGCGAGCUGGGUUUAGAACGUCGUGAGACAGUUCGGUCCCUAUCUGCCGUGGGCGCUGGAGAAUUGAGGGGGGCUGCUCCUAGUACGAGAGGACCGGAGUGGACGCAUCACUGGUGUUCGGGUUGUCAUGCCAAUGGCACUGCCCGGUAGCUAAAUGCGGAAGAGAUAAGUGCUGAAAGCAUCUAAGCACGAAACUUGCCCCGAGAUGAGUUCUCCCUGAGACUUUAAGUCUCCUGAAGGAACGUUGAAGACGACGACGUUGAUAGGCCGGGUGUGUAAGCGCAGCGAUGCGUUGAGCUAACCGGUACUAAUGAACCGUGAGGCUUAACCUU